This 440-nucleotide ribosomal RNA is filed under the name Bacillus sp. CSu1_38. RNAcentral describes it as "bacterial SSU rRNA". It matches the Rfam family "Bacterial small subunit ribosomal RNA", at positions 56 to 479 of the family's 1533-position model. Lineage: Bacteria; Bacillati; Bacillota; Bacilli; Caryophanales; Bacillaceae. The record is from RNAcentral.
UGCAGUCGAGCGGACCGACGGGAGCUUGCUCCCUUAGGUCAGCGGCGGACGGGUGAGUAACACGUGGGUAACCUGCCUGUAAGACUGGGAUAACUCCGGGAAACCGGGGCUAAUACCGGAUGCUUGAUUGAACCGCAUGGUUCAAUCAUGAAAGGCGGCUUCGGCUGCCGUUUACAGAUGGACCCGCGGCGCAUUAGCUAGUUGGUGAGGUAACGGCUCACCAAGGCGACGAUGCGUAGCCGACCUGAGAGGGUGAUCGGCCACACUGGGACUGAGACACGGCCCACACUCCUACGGGAGGCAGCAGUAGGGAAUCUUCCGCAAUGGACGAGAGUCUGACGGAGCAACGCCGCGUGAGUGAUGAACGUUCUCAGAUCGUAAAGCUCUGUUGUUAGGGAAGAACAAGUACCGUUCGAAUAGGGCGGUACCUUGACGGUACC